GCGUCGGUGGGCAACGGUUAGCAUGCGCUUCCGAAUAGAGUGAGAUCCGGGUUCGAAUCCCGCCUGACGCA
Non-coding RNA from Parelaphostrongylus tenuis, 71 nucleotides. The record is from the annotation of a GenBank genome assembly. Lineage: Eukaryota; Metazoa; Nematoda; Chromadorea; Rhabditida; Metastrongylidae.